This 150-nucleotide ribosomal RNA is filed under the name uncultured eubacterium ZI-11. Its description in RNAcentral is "partial 16S ribosomal RNA". It matches the Rfam family "Bacterial small subunit ribosomal RNA", at positions 355 to 497 of the family's 1533-position model. The record is from RNAcentral.
UGGGGAAUAUUGGACAAUGGGGGAAACCCUGAUCCAGCCAUGCCGCGUGUGUGAAGAAGGCCUUUUGGUUGUAAAGCACUUUAAGCAGUGAAGAAGACUCCAUGGUUAAUACCCAUGGACGAUGACAUUAGCUGCAGAAUAAGCACCGGC